Molecule: ribosomal RNA, 253 nt
Filed under: uncultured bacterium
Lineage: Bacteria
Description: partial 16S ribosomal RNA
Rfam family: Bacterial small subunit ribosomal RNA
Source: RNAcentral
UACGAAGGGUGCAAGCGUUAAUCGGAAUUACUGGGCGUAAAGGGUGCGUAGGCGGUUGUUUAAGUCUGCCGUGAAAUCCCCGGGCUCAACCUGGGAAUGGCGGUGGAUACUGGAUAGCUAGAGUGUGUCAGAGGAUGGUGGAAUUCCCGGUGUAGCGGUGAAAUGCGUAGAGAUCGGGAGGAACAUCAGUGGCGAAGGCGGCCAUCUGGGACAACACUGACGCUGAAGCACGAAAGCGUGGGGAGCAAACAGG